Molecule: long non-coding RNA, 3318 nt
Organism: Sarcophilus harrisii (Tasmanian devil)
Lineage: Eukaryota; Metazoa; Chordata; Mammalia; Dasyuromorphia; Dasyuridae
Exons: 3
Source: RefSeq, a predicted model, not a curated record
CAAGUCACCAAAGGCAGCACAUCUUCCUUCAUCACUUGCUCCGGAAGGCGCCUAGGGGGCGCUGUUGUGGCACCACAGAGCGAGGGAGUGGGCCGUGGGGGAAGCAGUUCUAGGAAUCCGGACCACGUGCGAACCACGUGGCGUUGGUGCAGACCCGGCCCCGGGAGGUGGCGCAGGGGCCUGCCGGGUGCUGCGGCAAGGCGAGCGGGAGACAGAGAGUAGCAAGUUCAGUCACGCCCGGGGUCGGCCCACCCGGGGCUGGAAGGAGGUACCAGUAAAGGUUAUCAAGUGAAAAGGAAGAAAUGCUGUGGAUAUUCAUGAAAAGAGGGCAAUGAAGGAAGACAAUGAAGAAAGGAAAAAAUUACAUAAAAGGUUUGCACUUUAUAACCAAAUCUGGUUAAUUCUUUUUUGAUCAAAGACAUUUUCCCUCUUAUUCCAUUAAUUCCUAUCAUCUCAGUUACAGGUACUGAAAUAAAGGAGCUGGAAAAAACAGCUGGAAAAAUGUAAGAAAGCAUGAAUUCCAUUCCAGUUGAAAUUGUGGUUGCAGAAAUUUAUUAGGCAAAUUAUCUUAUCUCUGUUUGCCUCAGUUUCCUGAUCUGUAAAGAGAAAAAUAAUAAUGUUAACCACCUCCCGUGGUUGUUGUGAAGAUCAAAAUGAUAAAAUUAUUAUAGAGUGCUUAAUAAAUGACUGCAUUAUGCUAAGCACUAUUUUAUUAAUUCCUUAAUUGAAUGUGAUUGUUCCAUAGUUGAUAAUUCUAAAGUAAUUUUAAAAUGUCAAAGAUCGGUGAUUUUUAUAUGUGAUAACUAGGAAAUCCAAUUAAUGUUAGUUUAUUAUUUGUUUUAUUAUUGUAUUUCUAAUUUCUCUUAUACUGUAGAAUUUGAGAUACCAUUGUAACAGAAAUGCUAUUAGGCAAGAUGAGUUAAUCGGGAUGCUGUUAUACAUGAAUUGGGCUUUUAAAAGGAUGUGAUUUUAUCAUAUAGGUAUUUGAAAACUUAAAUAUUUAAUGAGGUAUAUUUUGUUAUAAACCAAAUAAUAUAUGAUAGCAAAUUUUCAUUUGAAAUUAUUGGCUAUUAUGAAAAUGUAUAGAGUAUUCAAUGAUGUAUCUUUGACAUAUCUAUGAUGAGUCAGUUAUCAGGUUAUUUGUUGUGUGUCUGAAGCUCCAGAAUAUGUUUAGUUUUAAUUUAUAAGUAAAAGAGUAACAAAAUGUUAACUGUUAGGAAAAUAUCAGGAAAGAUAUUUAAACCUUAAUUGUGAUUAGUGAAAUUUUGCUAUUUAAGAUAAAAAUUCCUGGCCUGUAAUUUAUUAUUAUUUUACAGCUUUGAUUAUUGGGAUAGUUGUCUGAAUUGUCAUGAAGCCAAUAUUAGAAAAUGGCAUUUCUACAGACUAACUGCUAAAGGUGGAUAUCUAUGCCUGGGAAAAGUUUUGGGGACAACCUUGGUAUGGCCUAGAGAUGAUCCUCCUAACUAUUGUACUGUUUCCUUUCUGAAAAGAAAAAUUCCCAACUGGUCAAUGCUGAACUUUGUUUUUAAUACUCUGUGAUUCAUGAUUGACUGUCAUGACUAAUGUCCAGAAUCAAACACAAUUAAGGGAGGUUCCCCCUGUGUUAUAAGAAAUCACAUUUUUUUCUUUUUUUCCUUUUAUGGCAAAUUUUUGUAAUCAAGAAGUUUUGUAAAUACAAUACUAAAUCUAUUAUAUUUUUUAUUACUAUACAUUAUAUAUUGCAUAUUAUAUAACCUGUGUUUGUGGUCGAAUUAUAUCUUCCUGAGAGUAAAAUGAUUACAUAAGAAUAAGACAAAGAUGUAAAAGGUUUUUCUAAAUAAAUGGAAUAGUAAAUUUUGAGAAAGCAACACGAUUAGACUAUUUUCUCUAACAGCUAUAUACUUAGCAUAUAUGAUUGAUCUCUAAAUUUAUUUAUCAUGGAAAUUUAGGCUUUGAAUAUGUCUUAGUAAUCAGUUCUCAAAAUUGCUAAGGAAUUUUUAAAUUAAGGAUUAAGGAAGAUACACAUAAUUGAUGAUAAAGAAAGUGAAAUUAUUUUUCUGUUUUUAAGACAUCUGUCUGAUAAAGGGCAGAAGUGUUCAUUUUGCAGUUGGAUCUUCAUAAAUUUUCAAGAGAUUCUUAUAUCAGGUACAGGAUUUAGGGAAGGAUAAAAAAAAAAACAAAUGCAACUGAACUGAACUGAAAUUCUCUGAAGUUUCAGAAUAAUCUAGGAAUCUUUGUAGAGCUUCUUUGAGAAUAAAACCUAUUGUCCAAGAAAAGAUCCAGGGUCCAGAAAACUAUAUGAGGCAUUUGGGACUGAAAUAUAAUAACUAAAUAGAUAUUGAGAAUGGGUUACUAGAAUACAAGAAGACUUUAUAUCAGUUAAUAUUGGUGAUACCUAUUGUAUUCUUUCGUCUUUUAUUUUAAUAUGUUUAUAUUUAAAUUUUCUUGGUUACCUUGGUGAAUGUAAAUCUCCUUUUACAGAACUAGUCCUUUGUGAUCCCUCUAAGUAGUUUGAUUUGUACUUGGCUUAAUGUAAUUAUACAGUUGUGGGAAUUGUGAGAAAAACUUUUUGUGCUGUUUGAAACGACAAUAACUCUGUAUGGCUGGGAAGCUGGGUUAUCUCAGAUCCAAAGAUUGAGGUAAGAAGUUUUCUCACAAUUGAACAUCUCAAGCAACUCAUAUGUUGUCUGAGGGUCCCUAUCAAGUCCUUCUGACUACUCCCACAGCUGUUAAACUUGUGAGUGUAUACGCCUGGGUUUAUCUGAAGAAAGUCCCUGCUUCUGAGUGAAUGGCAGAACCCUUCAGGGACUUCACGGUUUAUCUAAUAUGGACCCAGAAGCAACUGAUAUCCAGAUGAAACAGCUGUUCCAAGAUUUUGGAUGAGAGUUGAGCAUAUUAUCCUUGUUUUUUUCUUUCCCUUUUCUUUUUGUUAUGUGCCCAGCCAUCAAGGCCAUAAUCCAAACGUGUUAGCAUUUUCUCCUUUUGCAUUCUUUUCUUUUCUGCUUGUAAGCAAAUAGUGGCUAGCAAUGAUACCUGGGCCAUACUUUCCCAGUAGGUCAUCUUAAAGAAUUGACUGCCUGAGAUGAAAAUGCUCAUCCUGGUUUGGCUUAUCCAUGCCUCUCUUUUAUUGACCAGAAGGAUAGGGAUUCUUUCAGACUCCCUCCCUUUGGCCAAAAGGGGAAAAUGCCAAGCUAUUAGGAGAUACCCCUGUUUUCCAGAGCUGAGGUCCAGCUUGCAAACCGUCUCCUGAGCUUGUGGGGAGCCGGCAUUAAUCUAUGGCCACAUAAGGCCACAUUCCAAAAGACUGCCCUAACCUUGAAUAGAAAUCUCCUAAUCACA